GAUUAGCCUUUGCUUAUGCAAAGAGGAAUCUACAAAGGUAUAAAUUUCAACUCACUUUGUUUUGAGUUGAUUAAUGGUUCACCAAUCUACUAGGCUUUGAAUUUCAUGGUUAAUGUUUUGUUUUUGAAUGCAUGCAAGCAUGAUUCCGCCUUUAAUUGUUAAUUGCAUGCUAUAUGAUGUUAUUCAAAUGAACAUGUUUUUACAAAAUAAUCCUUCAAGUGGUAUCAGAGCCUAGGUCUAGUAGUUGGUGAAUCCUUUUGGGUUUUGUAGUUCAUAGUUUUGAUUUAAAAGUUGUAAUAUGUUACAAGCUUUAUUCUUGUUUCUUUGAAUGUAAAUUUUGUUAGAAAAAUUUGUCAUCUCAAAUGUUGUAGAUGUAGUUCAUAUGAGCAUGAAUAUUGAAGCUAAAAUUUGGUGCCAUGCUUUUGGGAAAAUUCGGCCAAAUCCAAAGGGUGGAUUUUUGGGUUCUUGUUUGACUUGUUAAAAGUGUUUUCAAGUGACUUUUGGAACCCCUAUGUACCCUAGUUUGGUUAGAUGUUAUUUCCCUUAAGUUUGAUUGGUUUUGGAAUGUUUUUGGGUGAAAAAUGUUCAUGGAAAAAUUUUGGGUUUUUCAUAAGUGUUCUUCAUUGUUCUUGACAUUUUAGCCAAGAACAAAAAGGUUUGUGUUUUGAUUCAAAGUUUUGAUUUAUUUCAUAAAGUUUAUGUUUUAUGUUUUUCAAAUGAUUUAUUGCAUUAGAUAUUUAUUUUGAAAUGGUGAUGGAAAUGGUGAUGGGUGUGUAAGGAUUAAUUUUCUUUCACACACACCACUUGCACCACUUGUUGCUUUAUGUCUAAAACUCACAAAUCAACACACACAUCACUCUAUCUUCUUCCAAAACCGGCCACCC
This 884-nucleotide long non-coding RNA is filed under the name Malus domestica (apple). RNAcentral's name for it is "long non-coding RNA (MDOM_LNC000220)". Lineage: Eukaryota; Viridiplantae; Streptophyta; Magnoliopsida; Rosales; Rosaceae. The record is from RNAcentral.